GCCUGGGUGGCUCAGUCGGUUAAGUGUCUGACUUCAACUCAGGUUAUGAUCUCGCAUUCGUGGGUUUGAGACCCACGUCUGGCU
Molecule: transfer RNA, 84 nt
Filed under: Felis catus (domestic cat)
Lineage: Eukaryota; Metazoa; Chordata; Mammalia; Carnivora; Felidae
Rfam family: tRNA
About the family: Transfer RNA (tRNA) molecules are approximately 80 nucleotides in length.
Source: Rfam by way of RNAcentral